GCCACGACAUUGCAAGUUCGAGCGGCAGCGACAUUGAAAAAACCGGCGGGGGAGCUUAUGGGCGGCGAGCGGCGGACGGGUGAGUAAUGCCUGGGAAUAUGCCCUGAUGUGGGGGAUAACCAUUGGAAACGAWGGCUAAUACCGCAUAAUCUCUUCGGAGCAAAGAGGGGGAGCUUACGGGCCUCUCGCGUCAGGAUUAGCCCAGGUGGGAUUAGCUAGUUGGUGAGGUAAAGGCUCACCAAGGCGACGAUCCCUAGCUGGUCUGAGAGGAUGAUCAGCCACACUGGAACUGAGACACGGUCCAGACUCCUACGGGAGGCAGCAGUGGGGAAUAUUGCACAAUGGGGGAAACCCUGAUGCAGCCAUGCCGCGUGUAUGAAGAAGGCCUUCGGGUUGUAAAGUACUUUCAGCAGUGAGGAAGGUGGUGUCGUUAAUAGCGGCAUUGCUUGACGUUAGCUGCAKAAGAAGCACCGGCUAACUCCGUGCCAGCAGCCGCGGUAAUACGGAGGGUGCGAGCGUUAAUCGGAAUUACUGGGCGUAAAGCGCAUGCAGGCGGUCUGUUAAGCAAGAUGUGAAAGCCCGGGGCUUAACCUCGGAACUGCAUUUUGAACUGGCAGACUAGAGUCUUGUAGAGGGGGGUAGAAUUUCAGGUGUAGCGGUGAAAUGCGUAGAGAUCUGAAGGAAUACCGGUGGCKAAGGCGGCCCCCUGGACAAAGACUGACGCUCAUAUGCGAAAGCGUGCGGAGCAAACAGCAUUAGAUACCCUGGUAGUCCACGCCGUAAACGAUGUCUACUUGGAUGGUUGGCGUCUUGAAUACUGGCUUUCGGAGCUAAYGCGUUAAGUAGACCGACUGGGAGAAGUACGGUCGCUAGAUUAAUACUCAAAUGAACUGACGGGUGCCCGCUACAGCGAUGGAGUCAUGUGGUAUUGAUUCGAUGCACG
RNAcentral lists this ribosomal RNA (943 nucleotides) under Photobacterium sp. Mj246. RNAcentral describes it as "bacterial SSU rRNA". It matches the Rfam family "Bacterial small subunit ribosomal RNA", at positions 46 to 960 of the family's 1533-position model. Lineage: Bacteria; Pseudomonadati; Pseudomonadota; Gammaproteobacteria; Vibrionales; Vibrionaceae. The record is from RNAcentral.